AUUGAACGCUGGCGGCAGGCCUAACACAUGCAAGUCGAGCGGAUGAAGGGAGCUUGCUCCUGGAUUCAGCGGCGGACGGGCGAGUAAUGCCUAGGAAUCUGCCUGGUAGUGGGGGAUAACGUCCGGAAACGGGCGCUAAUACCGCAUACGUCCAGAGGGAGAAAGUGGGGGAUCUUCGGACCUCACGCUAUCAGAUGAGCCUAGGUCGGAUUAGCGAGUUGGUGGGGUAAAGGCCUACCAAGGCGACGAUCCGUAACUGGUCUGAGAGGAUGAUCAGUCACACUGGAACUGAGACACGGUCCAGACUCCUACGGGAGGCAGCAGUGGGGAAUAUUGGACAAUGGGCGAAAGCCUGAUCCAGCCAUGCCGCGUGUGUGAAGAAGGUCUUCGGAUUGUAAAGCACUUUUAGUUGGGAAGAAGAGCAGUAAGUUAAUACCUUGCUGUUUUGACGUUACCAACAGAAUAAGCACCGGCUAACUUCGUG
This 484-nucleotide ribosomal RNA is filed under the name uncultured bacterium. RNAcentral describes it as "partial 16S ribosomal RNA". It matches the Rfam family "Bacterial small subunit ribosomal RNA", at positions 30 to 507 of the family's 1533-position model. The record is from RNAcentral.